RNAcentral lists this ribosomal RNA (301 nucleotides) under uncultured bacterium. RNAcentral's name for it is "partial 16S ribosomal RNA". It matches the Rfam family "Bacterial small subunit ribosomal RNA", at positions 509 to 807 of the family's 1533-position model. The record is from RNAcentral.
CAGUAGCCACGGGAACACGAAGGGUGCAAGCGUUAAUCGGAAUUGCUGGGCGUAAAGCGUGCGUAGGCGGUUUGUUAAGUCUGUUGUGAAAUCCCCGGGCUCAACCUGGGAAUGGCAAUGGAUACUGGCAAGCUAGAGUGUGUCAGAGGAUGGUGGAAUUCCCGGUGUAGCGGUGAAAUGCGUAGAGAUCGGGAGGAACAUCAGUGGCGAAGGCGGCCAUCUGGGACAACACUGACGCUGAGGCACGAAAGCGUGGGGAGCAAACAGGAUUAGAUACCCCUGUAGUCCCUGUCUCUUAUAC